CCCGGCGACCGGCGCACGGGUGAGUAACACGUAUGCAACCUGGCCGCCACAGGGGGAUAACCCGCGGAAACGCGACCUAAUACCCCGUGACGCCACCGGAGGGCAUCCUCCGGUGGCCAAAGGAGCGAUCCGGUGGCGGAUGGGCAUGCGGCGCAUUAGCUAGACGGCGGGGUAACGGCCCACCGUGGCGACGAUGCGUAGGGGUUCUGAGAGGAAGGCCCCCCACACUGGAACUGAGACACGGUCCAGACUCCUACGGAAGGCAGCAG
Molecule: ribosomal RNA, 269 nt
Filed under: uncultured bacterium
Lineage: Bacteria
Description: partial 16S ribosomal RNA
Rfam family: Bacterial small subunit ribosomal RNA
Source: RNAcentral